Molecule: long non-coding RNA, 450 nt
Organism: Homo sapiens (human)
Lineage: Eukaryota; Metazoa; Chordata; Mammalia; Primates; Hominidae
Gene: PLSCR5-AS1
Product: PLSCR5 antisense RNA 1
Source: Ensembl
AAGCAAGAGGGAGAAUAACAAAUCACUCAUGCUCUCAAAGCCCAUACUUACAAAGAGAAAACAGGCACCGAUCAUUGCUGCUUUGACUGUUACAUCUAGAUCUGCAGGAACAUGAAUUCCGAAAUUGUCAGCAUUUGUGAAGACAUCAUUUACAAAUCCUGACCAGUACUUUGAAAUCUUCCCAAUUAUGGAGAAUAUCAGGAUAAAUAAUUAAGGCUCAGCCACCACAAGAUGGCAGCAGGUACAUAGUUCAAUUGUAUCAUCUAAGCAUGAAGGCGAUUUCUUUACUUGAGGUCCAGAUUUUAAACCUGAAUUCUCCAUCUUAAAAAUGUAAAAGAAGAUAUGUUUGAAAAAAUAUUUCAGAAGGAAUUAAAUUAAUUUCUAGGCAUAAUUUGUAAACUUUCAAAUUUCAGUUGCUAAAAUUUUAUAAUUAUUAAAACAUUUAAAUAU